This is a long non-coding RNA of Papaver somniferum (opium poppy), 1449 nucleotides long. RefSeq lists it as uncharacterized. Lineage: Eukaryota; Viridiplantae; Streptophyta; Magnoliopsida; Ranunculales; Papaveraceae. The record is from RefSeq and is a predicted model, not a curated record. The transcript is spliced from 3 exons.
AAUUUACUCUAUUUCAGAAGCCCAAGCCGAAUGAAACAGAAACCUCUAAAAUCUCUUGAUCGGUCAAGAACAAGGAAAAACUCUCACUUAAUUUGUCUCAAGCAUUAUCACAUUUCCGUAGCUGCUAACCCAAUUUGAGGUAGACAUGGAAACGUAACUGAUACAGGAGGUGAAAUCUUAGAAAACUCAGUUGUGUAGCUAGAAAGACUAGCCAAACAUAAAGCAACAGUGUCUGUGAUGAAGGAAAGGACAUAAUAACCACCCCCAAAAAUACAGGGAUCGCUAAAGAUUAUGAAUUCCUCUCGCUUGCUGUCUGUAAAAGAACUAUGUGAAUAGGUGGCAGACCAUGAGCAGGCUCUGUUCCGGAUAACUGCAAUUGAGCCUCCUGCAACACCAAUGAUAACGAUGACAUACAAAAAAUUCCUGAAGUGACAAAGGUUAAGAGAUAAACAUUCCCUUCCAUAUAUUAAAGGCCUCCAUUUACAAGUGGUGGCCGCCGAAGAAAACUCAAAAAAAAGGUGGAAAGUAAGGAGUCUAUUAUCUGGAACCAUAUACAAACUUGGAUAACGAACUCGCAAUACGAUCCAAUCUGGUUCUUAGACCAAAGGUUAGUCUCCCUGGUGUUUUUGUGUCUUCUUUUAUAUGUCAAAACAAAUUCAUUGAUGCCUUGUAAUUGGUGCAUGUGUCUAUGCCACAGUAAAAUACAUGGUGAAUACGGUAGGUCACUAGUAAACUGUCGAGCCUUAUCUAGACCACUGGAAUCCCAUUUAGGUGGCUACUUGAUGACGCGAGUUUCGACAUGUUGAUAUUGCCGGUAAAAUUGAAUAAUGGGAAAAUUUUCUGGGAUGGUGAACUUAUCUCUAGUGCCUCGUGCAGGUUAUAAACAGAACAUUGCUCAUAUUGCGAAAGUCUAAGAUCUUUACCGGGAAAAUCAUACCCGGACAUACUUCGAAACUUAUCUUCUUGUAUGGUUGUGUAAAAUAGUCACCGCAGAUUAUAUUUCCUACUUUUUAUAUUAAUGCAUUUUAACUUAGCUUCGUUGUUGUGGAACAUGAUAUUCUUGAGACUGGCAGCGUCAACGUAAUGAAUAAAAUCAGACUUGGAGAAGCUCCGACAUAUAAUAAAGCUCGUCUAACCCCUUUGGAUGGGGUUUCAUAUGGUAUAUGGCGUGCUUAAUGUUAAAAGGAAAAAAAGAGCAGUUCUACACUAACAGUGCUUUUUGCACCGUGAGAUGUCCCGAGUGGAAUCUGCCUUUGGGAACCACCGCACAGGGAUUUAUAGGGGGCCCAUCUUUUAUGUUUCACUCGAUAGAUUUCACGGUGGGUUUCCAUAGUGAGUUUAUAAUUUUCGAAAAAAAAUAAAAGACUCACCAUUAAAAGUGCAGAAAGGAAAAUUAAAAUAUAUGAUUCUAGUUUACCGUAUCUGAAUAUAUCAGAAAGUUAAUCUCCA